GCGCAGUCUCAGGCUCGUGUCUCUGCGCUCCGCCGUCAGCUUGGCGAGUGUGGGAAGCUUGACUCCACGGCCACGGAGUUCUACAACAAGGUCAAGGGCCUUGCUGACACGUUGGCCUCCAUUGGACAGCCGCUCACUGACUCCGAGUUCCACUCCUUCAUCGUCAACGAGCUCGACGAGGAGUAUGAUGCUUUGGUCGAGAUCAUCAACGAGCGGGGCAACUCGACUCCCAUGGCGGUACAUGAGGUCUACUCCCGCCUUCUCCUCACCGAGCAGCGUGUCGAGGCGCGUCGCUCCAAGGCCAGCCACGGCUCCCUCUCGGCGAACGCCGCCACUAAGGGUGGCCGCACCUCGUCCAAGGGGCCGCCGCCUGCCUCGUCUUCGCCAUCUUCAGCUCCCCCCGCGUCCGCAACUCUUCCAGGGGCCGGUGGUCGACGCGUGUGUCAGUUGCGUGGCAUUGAGGGGCACUGGGCCUCCAAGUGUCACAAACGCUUCCAGCGGAGUUUUCUUGGUCUUGGCAAUGACGGCAAGGAUACACGCAACUUUGCCCGUCAGGUCGCCAUGGCUGAUCGUCCGGCGCUGCAGAAGCAACAGGGACACACUCAGUCCUACUCCAUCGAUCCACACUGGUACAUGGACUCUGGGGCGACGGAGCACCUGACGAGCGAGAUGGGGAAGCUUCACACUCGUGAACCCUAUCAUGGCUCCGACAAGAUCCACACUGCCAAUGGAGCAGGAUCGGGGCACGAAGGACAUUCUUCUUAG
Molecule: ribosomal RNA, 765 nt
Filed under: Triticum aestivum (bread wheat)
Lineage: Eukaryota; Viridiplantae; Streptophyta; Magnoliopsida; Poales; Poaceae
Description: partial small subunit ribosomal RNA
Source: RNAcentral